Molecule: ribosomal RNA, 634 nt
Filed under: uncultured bacterium
Lineage: Bacteria
Description: bacterial SSU rRNA
Rfam family: Bacterial small subunit ribosomal RNA
Source: RNAcentral
AGAGUUUGAUCUGGCUCAGAAUCAACGCUGGCGGCGUGCCUAACACAUGCAAGUCGAACGAGAAAGUGGAGCAAUCCAUGAGUAAAGUGGCGACCGGGUGAGUAACACGUGACUAACCUACCUUUCAGUGGGGGAUAACCUCGGGAAACCGAGGCUAAUACCGCAUAACAUCGCAAGAUCAAAGCAGCAAUGCGCUGGAAGAGGGGGUCGCGGCUGAUUAGCUAGUUGGCGGGGUAACGGCCCACCAAGGCGAAGAUCGGUAUCCGGCCUGAGAGGGCGCACGGACACACUGGGACUGAAACACGGUCCAGACUCCUACGGGAGGCAGCAGUGGGGAAUUUUGCGCAAUGGGGGAAACCCUGACGCAGCAACGCCGCGUGGAGGAUUAAGCCCCUUGGGGUGUAAACUCCUUUCGACCAAGACGAUAAUGACGGUACUGGUGGAAGAAGCACCUGCUAACUCUGUGCCAGCAGCCGCGGUAAUACAGAGGGUGCGAGCGUUGUUCGGAAUUAUUGGGCGUAAAGGGCGCGUAGGCGGUGCCACAAGUCACUUGUGAAAUCCCCGGGCUUAACCCGGGGCCUGCAGGCGAAACUGUGGUGCUGGAGUAUGGGAGAGGUGCGUGGAAUUCCCGGUG